Molecule: long non-coding RNA, 300 nt
Filed under: Pan troglodytes (chimpanzee)
Lineage: Eukaryota; Metazoa; Chordata; Mammalia; Primates; Hominidae
Description: long non-coding RNA NONPTRT012113
Source: RNAcentral
GAAACCCUCUAUCAUCUUCUUGCUGAUGUGUGGCUUCUAAGCUUCCCCAGUAAAGCCCAUUCUUAACUCAUACCUGACACUGUACAACACUAUCCCAAGCCCUAACGCAUAACAGAAAGAGAACCACUUAGAACGACAUUGUGCAAUUGUGCAAUAUUCACUCUUCAAAUUGAGCAUGUUAAUUCAAAUUUCAAAAAAUAUUGAUGUGUCUUAAUAGGCAAAAUGAUGCAACAAAAAAGCACACUUCAACUUCAGACAAUGACUGAUCGAGACUCAAAUUACACAUGGUAAGUGGUAGGA